AGUGAACGCUGGCGGUAGGCCUAACACAUGCAAGUCGAACGGCAGCACAGUAAGAGCUUGCUCUUACGGGUGGCGAGUGGCGGACGGGUGAGGAAUACAUCGGAAUCUACUUUUUCGUGGGGGAUAACGUAGGGAAACUUACGCUAAUACCGCAUACGGCCUACGGGUGAAAGCAGGGGAUCUUCGGACCUUGCGCGAUUGAAUGAGCCGAUGUCGGAUUAGCUAGUUGGCGGGGUAAAGGCCCACCAAGGCGACGAUCCGUAGCUGGUCUGAGAGGAUGAUCAGCCACACUGGAACUGAGACACGGUCCAGACUCCUACGGGAGGCAGCAGUGGGGAAUAUUGGACAAUGGGCGCAAGCCUGAUCCAGCCAUACCGCGUGGGUGAAGAAGGUCUUCGGGUUGUAAAGCCCUUUUGUUGGGAAAGAAAAGCAGCAGGUUAAUACCCCGCUGUUCUGACGGUACCCAAAGAAUAAGCACCGGCUAACUUCGUG
Molecule: ribosomal RNA, 492 nt
Filed under: uncultured bacterium
Lineage: Bacteria
Description: partial 16S ribosomal RNA
Rfam family: Bacterial small subunit ribosomal RNA
Source: RNAcentral